CUGAAUAUCAAGAAAUAGUUGCAUGCAGAUCUUGUCAGUUUCAGACAAAUUGUGAUCCGAGACAUCUGAGCUUGCUCCAGCUCGCCUUUGAGCACCCAAACGUAGUUUUUGAAGAGAAGAUUCCGUUCUUCUACUCAUAUUCACAAGUUCUGACGUUAAAUCAUAGUAACGUUGAGUUAUUUCCAAAGCAGCACCUUGCAAGAGCUCAUUCCUUGUCUCAUUAUUCAGACAAGUUGCAGCCCUUUCUCCCUCCAAAAACUCCUUCAAUGGACGCAAUACUCCAGAGACGUAUGGAGAAUGCCUGACUGGGAGAG
RNAcentral lists this unclassified non-coding RNA (314 nucleotides) under Hevea brasiliensis (rubber tree). Lineage: Eukaryota; Viridiplantae; Streptophyta; Magnoliopsida; Malpighiales; Euphorbiaceae. The record is from RNAcentral.